RNA transcript from Pteropus alecto (black flying fox), 2984 nucleotides. It is a transcript of the gene named chromosome unknown C6orf89 homolog, with no coding region annotated. The record is from RefSeq and is a predicted model, not a curated record. NCBI's taxonomy places the organism in Eukaryota, Metazoa, Chordata, Mammalia, Chiroptera, Pteropodidae. The transcript is spliced from 12 exons.
UCUGUUUGCGGCAGAAGCGGUAGAAGCGUGGGGCGGAAAGAAGGAGCUACCCUGGGGCUUUAGCCUCGUCUGUAGACGGGGAGUUGCUUCCGGGUUGCGCAUCAGGAAGCAGGAAGUUGUCGGUUUCGCUUCCUAGCCCGGUGGUGGCUGUCCCCGAGGCGGGAGGAGCCCAAGGGGGCGCGGGCGCCGCAUGUAUAAGCCACUGUUGAGAGUCAAGCUCACUCUUCGGAACUUCCCUCUGUGGCAAAGCUCAUUUCUGCCAGAGUUGGACCUUCUUUCUGGAGUUCUCAGCCACUCUUAUGUGAUAAUCAAGGAACACAGUGUUGUGGUUUUGGAACUGCCAUCUCAGAACAGGAAAAUACUUGGUAAGGAAGGCAGUAUGCAUAAAGGUUAAAAGCACCAACCCUGAAGUCACACUUGGGUUCACAUCCUGCACGUUUUAUCCAUCCAUUCAGCAGAUCAUGGACAUUUGGAUUGCUUCCAUUUUUGAGCUAUUAUGAAUAAUGCUGCUUGAACAUUCACAUGGAUUUUGCAUUCGGAGACAUGGAUCUUGCUGCCAAUGAGCUCAGCAUUUAUGACAAACUUUCAGAAACUGUUGAUUUGGUGAGACAGACAGGCCACCAAUGUGGCAUGUCAGAGAAGGCAAUUGAAAAAUUUAUCAGACAGUUGCUGGAAAAGAAUGAACCUCAGAGGAGGCCACCCCAGUAUCCUCUCCUUAUAGCUGUGUAUAAGGUCCUUGCAACCCUGGGAUUAAUCUUGCUCACUGCCUACUUUGUGAUUCAACCUUUUAGCCCUUUACCACCUGAACCAGUGCUUUCUGGAGCUCACACCUGGCGCUCACUCAUAUAUCACAUCCGGCUGAUGUCCUUGCCCAUUACCAAGAAGUAUAUGCCAGAAAAUAAGGGAGUUCCUCUGCAUGGGGGUGAUGAAGACAGAUCCUUUCCAGACUUUGACCCCUGGUGGACAAAUGAUCGUGAGCAGAAUGAGUCAGACCCCAUCCCUGCCAACUGCACUGGUUGUGCCCAGAAAUUACCCCUCAAAGUAAUGCUUCUGGAAGAUACCCCGAAGAAAUUUGAGGGACUCCAUCCUCUGGUGAUCAAGACAGAGCAGCCCCUGUUGUCUGAGGAGCUUCAGCAUUUUUUGUGCCAGUACCCUGAGGCAACAGAAGGCUUCACGGAAGGGUUUUUCACAAAGUGGUGGCGCUGCUUUCCUGACCGGUGGUUCCCAUUUUCUUAUCCAUGGAGAAGACCUCUGAACAAAUCACACAUUUUACGUGAGCUUUUUCCUGUUUUCACCUACCUGCCAUUUCCAGAAGAUGCCUCCUUAAAAAAGUGCUUCCUUCUUCAACCAGAACCAAUUGUGGGGAGUAAGAUGCGUAGGAUGCAUGAUCUUUUUACCAUUGGCAGCGGUGAGGCCAUGUUGCAGCUCAUCCCUCCCUUCCAGUGCCGAAGACACUGCCAUUCCGUGGCAAUACCACUAGAGCCAGGGGAUAUCGGCUAUGCUGGUGCCACCCACUGGAAGGUCUACAUUAUAGCCAGAGGGGUCCAGCCUUUGGUCAUCUGUGAUGCAACCACCCUCUCAGUACUAUAGGAAACAGAACUGUGUGGAGGAACAGCUUUUAAAGCCGAAGACCAGAUUGAAAGGAGGAAAUAAAAACAAAAACAAUGAAACACUUUCCAGGGACUGGUUACUUAGUUACCUGCCCUGUGCAUGUCUUUGUGAGCCAGCUGUAUGCUGGAGGUGAUGACCAGAGCCAGCCAGACUCUUCCAGCCCUGCUGCUUGGCCAGGACUUUGCCAAUACCUGUCUGAGAGAGACUGGGCUCUUCUAGGUCUUUUGGCACCACAGCCAUGAGGCUGCCCUUCAGGCAGGAAACAGGGUUGGUGCCUUCCCUCACUUACAUGAUCCCCUCUGCUGGCUCCCUGGCCACAGAGAGGGCAGCCAACAGGUUCUGACUUCAGAGCCAUCCUUUACCAGAUGGCUUGUGUGUCCUGUCUUCCUGACCACACCAUCUUGUACUUUUUUAGGAAAGCCAUGGCUGAUUAAAGAAGCCAUUGCAGUUUCCCAAGCAGAACAGAGUCUGGAACCAGUGAAAAAAGAUCAGAUAACCUCAAAUUGCUUUCAAGAUGUACACUUCUUUCCCAGAGUCCAUGGCUCUUAGAGUCUCAGCGAUGCCAGACUGGAGUCUGAUUGUAAUUGAAAUGGUCAUUUCUAAAUACUUUUCUCCAUUUUAUCAGGUUUUUCUGCACUUGCCCCAUCCCCCACCCAUAACUCCUUCCCUUUUCCCUUACUUAUCCAGGUGGUUUCUCAGCAGUUGGGCUUCUGGAGCCCUCUCCUUUGGCUGAGCCAGAGCCCUUUACUGCUGAGGCAGCACCAUUCCUGUCAACUGUGUUACUUUUACCAAGUGUCUUCAGAGGGGGAUGAGUUAGAGUGCUGGCCUGGGGAGAGGGCGCCUCCCCAGGUUUGAUCUUUAGGGUCUGACUUUCUGCAGGGAAGAUGUUUUACAGAUGUGUCAAGCUGAUGUUGUAAUGUGGUUGGGGAAGGAACUCCAGAUCCAAAGUGUUUGCCAGCUGGGUGUGCGACUAAAAUGAUCUUCCUCUUUGUACUGGGAAACAAGGAAGGUCAGUCACAGGCUGAGGGAGAAGACUGGAGAGGCAGAGGUAAGCCAGGAACUCUGCUCAGCCUCUUCCCUGCUGUCAGGGUGAGCAGCCAGACAGCUGCAGUUCAUCUUCAGGGAACCGGAGUGGUGGGCCUGGAUGGUCCCAGUAAUCGAAGGAAGACAGACAUCUGUCCCAACUGCUCAUGCUCUAAACGGUCUAAGCUGGUCUAAGCUGUUAAUGUGUGUUCAGUGCAGAAUAUUGACAGUAACUUAAUGUACUGCAAACUUGUAAAGACUUCCACCGUGUAAAGAAUGUAUGUAAAUUAAAGUUUUAUGUAAUGAAAGUUUUUACAUUUUGCAAUUAAAAUGUGUAUGUUGGUUGAUAA